This 253-nucleotide ribosomal RNA is filed under the name uncultured bacterium. Its description in RNAcentral is "partial 16S ribosomal RNA". It matches the Rfam family "Bacterial small subunit ribosomal RNA", at positions 524 to 776 of the family's 1533-position model. The record is from RNAcentral.
UACGUAGGUGGCAAGCGUUGUCCGGAUUUACUGGGCGUAAAGGGCGUGCAGGCGGUUUGUUAAGUUCAGGGUGAAAGCUCCCGGCUCAACUGGGAGAGGUCCUUGGAUACUGGCAGACUAGAGGAGGGUAGAGGAGAGUGGAAUUCCCGGUGUAGUGGUGAUAUGCGUAGAUAUCGGGAGGAACACCAGUGGCGAAGGCGGCUCUCUGGGCCCUACCUGACGCUGAGACGCGAAAGCGUGGGGAGCGAACAGG